Molecule: ribosomal RNA, 253 nt
Filed under: uncultured bacterium
Lineage: Bacteria
Description: partial 16S ribosomal RNA
Rfam family: Bacterial small subunit ribosomal RNA
Source: RNAcentral
UACGUAGGGUGCGAGCGUUGCCCGGAUUUAUUGGGCGUAAAGGGCGCGUAGGCGGUGAGAUGCGUCCGUUGUGAAAUCGCCCGGCUCAACUGGGCGGGGUCAGCGGAUACGGUCUCACUUGAGCAAGCUAGGGGGCAAUGGAAUUCCCGGUGUAGUGGUGGAAUGCGCAGAUAUCGGGAGGAACACCAGUGGCGAAGGCGGUUGCCUGGGGCUUUGCUGACGCUGAGGCGCGAAAGCGUGGGGAGCGAUCCGG